GCAAGAUGGCAGGUGAAAAAGUUGAGAAGCCAGAUACUAAAGAGAAGAAACCCGAAGCCAAGAAGGUUGAUGCUGGUGGCAAGAAAGGCCAUGUAGAAGAGGAAGUACUCAGCCGCUAAAUCCAAGGUUGAAAAGAAAAAGAAGGAGAAGGUUCUUGCAGCUGUUACAAAACCAGUUGGUGGUGACAAGAACGGCGGUACCCGGGUGGUUAAACUUCGCAAAAUGCCUAGAUAGUAUCCUACUGAAGAUGUGCCUCGAAAGCUGUUGAGCCACGGCAAAAAACCCUUCAGUCAGCACGUGAGAAAACUGCGAGCCAGCAUUACCCCCGGGACCAUUCUGAUCAUCCUCACUGGACGCCACAGGGGCAAGAGGGUGGUUUUCCUGAAGCAGCUGGCUAGUGGCUUAUUACUUGUGACUGGACCUCUGGUCCUCAAUCGAGUUCCUCUACGAAGAACACACCAGAAAUUUGUCAUUGCCACCUCAACCAAAAUCGAUAUCAGCAAUGUAAAAAUCCCAAAACAUCUUACUGAUGCUUACUUCAAGAAGAAGAAGCUGCGGAAGCCCAGACACCAGGAAGGUGAGAUCUUCGACACAGAAAAAGAGAAAUAUGAGAUUACGGAGCAGCGCAAGAUUGAUCAGAAAGCUGUGGACUCACAAAUUUUACCAAAAAUCAAAGCUAUUCCUCAGCUCCAGGGCUACCUGCGAUCUGUGUUUGCUCUGACGAAUGGAAUUUAUCCUCACAAAUUGG
Long non-coding RNA from Homo sapiens (human), 748 nucleotides. The record is from Ensembl. NCBI's taxonomy places the organism in Eukaryota, Metazoa, Chordata, Mammalia, Primates, Hominidae.